GGGUUUGAGUGCUGCCAUAUGCAGACACAACAAAAGGGUUAGAGACGGUGGUAGCCAGCCAAAGAGCAUAUGAAAAAUAGCAGUGACGAGGCAAAGGUUUCCACUUUGGUCCAUACUUUCUCUUGGUCCAAUUGUUAUUGCUACAAAGGGACAAAAGGCAAAACAGUCCACUCACAAGCGAAAGCGAAGACGAUGCAAAAAUUGCAAGUCAUUUGGACAUGAUAGACGAAAAU
Molecule: non-coding RNA, 233 nt
Organism: Coffea arabica (coffee)
Lineage: Eukaryota; Viridiplantae; Streptophyta; Magnoliopsida; Gentianales; Rubiaceae
Source: RefSeq, a predicted model, not a curated record